This 480-nucleotide ribosomal RNA is filed under the name uncultured bacterium. RNAcentral describes it as "bacterial SSU rRNA". It matches the Rfam family "Bacterial small subunit ribosomal RNA", at positions 28 to 507 of the family's 1533-position model. The record is from RNAcentral.
GAUGAACGCUGGCGGCGUGCCUAACACAUGCAAGUCGAACGGAGUUACUUUGGUGAAGUUUUCGGAUGGAACUGAUUUAACUUAGUGGCGGACGGGUGAGUAAUGCGUGAGCAACCUGCCCUUCAGAGGGGGACAACAGUUGGAAACGACUGCUAAUACCGCAUAAGCCCACGGGUCGGCAUCGACCAGAGGGAAAAGGAGCAAUCCGCUUUGAGAUGGCCUCGCGUCCGAUUAGCUAGUUGGUGAGGUAAUGGCCCACCAAGGCGACGAUCGGUAGCCGGACUGAGAGGUUGAACGGCCACAUUGGGACUGAGACACGGCCCAGACUCCUACGGGAGGCAGCAGUGGGGAAUAUUGCACAAUGGGGGAAACCCUGAUGCAGCGACGCCGCGUGGAGGAAGAAGGUCUUCGGAUUGUAAACUCCUGUUGUUGAGGAAGAUAAUGACGGUACUCAACAAGGAAGUGACGGCUAACUACGUG